This 253-nucleotide ribosomal RNA is filed under the name uncultured bacterium. Its description in RNAcentral is "partial 16S ribosomal RNA". It matches the Rfam family "Bacterial small subunit ribosomal RNA", at positions 524 to 776 of the family's 1533-position model. The record is from RNAcentral.
UACGGGGGGGGCAAGCGUUGUUCGGAAUUACUGGGCGUAAAGGGCUCGUAGGCGGCCAACUAAGUCGGAUGUGAAAUCCCCAAGCUUAACUUGGGAACUGCAUCCGAUACUGGAUGGCUUGAAUCCGGGAGAGGGAUGCAGAAUUCCAGGUGUAGCGGUGAAAUGCGUAGAUAUCUGGAGGAAUACCGGUGGCGAAGGCGGCAUCCUGGACCGGUAUUGACGCUGAGGAGCGAAAGCUAGGGGAGCAAACGGG